Molecule: ribosomal RNA, 1326 nt
Filed under: Staphylococcus aureus
Lineage: Bacteria; Bacillati; Bacillota; Bacilli; Caryophanales; Staphylococcaceae
Description: bacterial SSU rRNA
Rfam family: Bacterial small subunit ribosomal RNA
Source: RNAcentral
ACGGUCUUGCUGUCACUUAUAGAUGGAUCCGCGCUGCAUUAGCUAGUUGGUAAGGUAACGGCUUACCAAGGCAACGAUGCAUAGCCGACCUGAGAGGGUGAUCGGCCACACUGGAACUGAGACACGGUCCAGACUCCUACGGGAGGCAGCAGUAGGGAAUCUUCCGCAAUGGGCGAAAGCCUGACGGAGCAACGCCGCGUGAGUGAUGAAGGUCUUCGGAUCGUAAAACUCUGUUAUUAGGGAAGAACAUAUGUGUAAGUAACUGUGCACAUCUUGACGGUACCUAAUCAGAAAGCCACGGCUAACUACGUGCCAGCAGCCGCGGUAAUACGUAGGUGGCAAGCGUUAUCCGGAAUUAUUGGGCGUAAAGCGCGCGUAGGCGGUUUUUUAAGUCUGAUGUGAAAGCCCACGGCUCAACCGUGGAGGGUCAUUGGAAACUGGAAAACUUGAGUGCAGAAGAGGAAAGUGGAAUUCCAUGUGUAGCGGUGAAAUGCGCAGAGAUAUGGAGGAACACCAGUGGCGAAGGCGACUUUCUGGUCUGUAACUGACGCUGAUGUGCGAAAGCGUGGGGAUCAAACAGGAUUAGAUACCCUGGUAGUCCACGCCGUAAACGAUGAGUGCUAAGUGUUAGGGGGUUUCCGCCCCUUAGUGCUGCAGCUAACGCAUUAAGCACUCCGCCUGGGGAGUACGACCGCAAGGUUGAAACUCAAAGGAAUUGACGGGGACCCGCACAAGCGGUGGAGCAUGUGGUUUAAUUCGAAGCAACGCGAAGAACCUUACCAAAUCUUGACAUCCUUUGACAACUCUAGAGAUAGAGCCUUCCCCUUCGGGGGACAAAGUGACAGGUGGUGCAUGGUUGUCGUCAGCUCGUGUCGUGAGAUGUUGGGUUAAGUCCCGCAACGAGCGCAACCCUUAAGCUUAGUUGCCAUCAUUAAGUUGGGCACUCUAAGUUGACUGCCGGUGACAAACCGGAGGAAGGUGGGGAUGACGUCAAAUCAUCAUGCCCCUUAUGAUUUGGGCUACACACGUGCUACAAUGGACAAUACAAAGGGCAGCGAAACCGCGAGGUCAAGCAAAUCCCAUAAAGUUGUUCUCAGUUCGGAUUGUAGUCUGCAACUCGACUACAUGAAGCUGGAAUCGCUAGUAAUCGUAGAUCAGCAUGCUACGGUGAAUACGUUCCCGGGUCUUGUACACACCGCCCGUCACACCACGAGAGUUUGUAACACCCGAAGCCGGUGGAGUAACCUUUUAGGAGCUAGCCGUCGAAGGUGGGACAAAUGAUUGGGGUGAAGUCGUAACAAGGUAGCCGUAUCGGAAGGUGCGGCU